RNAcentral lists this ribosomal RNA (254 nucleotides) under uncultured bacterium. RNAcentral describes it as "partial 16S ribosomal RNA". It matches the Rfam family "Bacterial small subunit ribosomal RNA", at positions 524 to 776 of the family's 1533-position model. The record is from RNAcentral.
UACGGAGGGGGCAAGCGUUGUUCGGAUUUACUGGGCGUAAAGGGUGUGUAGGCGGCUGGAUAAGUCUGGCGUGAAAUCUUCACCGCUUAACGGGAAGGGGUCGCUGGAAACUGUUCAGCUUGAGUAUGGUAGAGGCAAGCGGAAUUCCUGGUGUAGCGGUGGAAUGUGUAGAUACCAGGAGGAACACCGGUGGCGAAGGCGGUUUCCUGGCCGAGUACUGACGCUGAGGCACGAAAGCGUGGGGAGCGAACGGG